CAGCAUGGUCCACCUCUUCCCAUUCCGAACAGAGAAGUUAAGCCUGCUUGCGCUGAUGGUACUGCCUGUUUCGCGGGUGGGAGAGUAAGACGACGCCACUU
This 101-nucleotide ribosomal RNA is filed under the name Flavobacteriia bacterium. Lineage: Bacteria; Pseudomonadati; Bacteroidota; Flavobacteriia. The record is from RNAcentral.